UCGGGCGCUCGUGUCACGGGUUGGCCUGUUCAUGCAGGCCCUAAGAGGGAAGGAGGUGCCCCGAGGCCGCCGCGAGGCGGACAGGGAAAUCCUCCGCUGCCCCCGCAACUGUGACCGGGGAGCGAUCCCGCCACAUGCCACUGGGCCUGCAAGGUCCGGGAAGGCGGCGGGACAGCGUCGAUCCGGGAGCCAGGAGACCUGCCUUUGACCGUCGUUCGGC
This 220-nucleotide non-coding RNA is filed under the name Erythrobacter sp. The record is from RNAcentral. Lineage: Bacteria; Pseudomonadati; Pseudomonadota; Alphaproteobacteria; Sphingomonadales; Erythrobacteraceae.